UACGGGGGGGGCAAGCGUUGUUCGGAAUUACUGGGCGUAAAGGGCUCGUAGGCGGCCAACUAAGUCCGACGUGAAAUCCCCAGGCUUAACCUGGGAACUGCGUCGGAUACUGGAUGGCUUGAAUUCGGGAGAGGGAUGCAGAAUUCCAGGUGUAGCGGUGAAAUGCGUAGAUAUUCGGAGGAACACCGAUGGCGAAGGCAAUCCCCUGGGCCUGCACUGACGCUCAUGCACGAAAGCGUGGGGAGCAAACAGG
Molecule: ribosomal RNA, 253 nt
Filed under: uncultured bacterium
Lineage: Bacteria
Description: partial 16S ribosomal RNA
Rfam family: Bacterial small subunit ribosomal RNA
Source: RNAcentral